Molecule: ribosomal RNA, 482 nt
Filed under: uncultured bacterium
Lineage: Bacteria
Description: bacterial SSU rRNA
Rfam family: Bacterial small subunit ribosomal RNA
Source: RNAcentral
AGUGAACGCUGGCGGCAGGCCUAAUACAUGCAAGUCGAACGGCAGCACAGCAGAGCUUGCUCUGUGGGUGGCGAGUGGCGGACGGGUGAGGAAUACAUGGGAAUCUGCCCAGUCGUGGGGGAUAACGUAGGGAAACUUACGCUAAUACCGCAUGCGCCCUUCGGGGGAAAGCCGGGGACCUUCGGGCCUGGCGCGAUUGGAUGAGCCCAUGUCGGAUUAGCUAGUUGGCGGGGUAAAGGCCCACCAAGGCGACGAUCCGUAGCUGGUCUGAGAGGAUGAUCAGCCACACUGGAACUGAGACACGGUCCAGACUCCUACGGGAGGCAGCAGUAGGGAAUAGUCUACAAUGGUCGGAAGACUGAUAGUGCGACGCCGCGUGAACGAUGGAUCCCUUCGGGGUGUAAAGUUCUUUUAUAUGUGAGCAGUGCUUCUUAUAUUAACAGUAUGGGGAGAGAGAUAUUAGCAUAUGAAUAAGCAAACGG